UGCAGUGAAAUAGCCUAUAACUUGAAAA
RNAcentral lists this non-coding RNA (28 nucleotides) under Homo sapiens (human). Lineage: Eukaryota; Metazoa; Chordata; Mammalia; Primates; Hominidae. The record is from RNAcentral.